This is a small nuclear RNA of Antechinus flavipes (yellow-footed antechinus), 103 nucleotides long. Lineage: Eukaryota; Metazoa; Chordata; Mammalia; Dasyuromorphia; Dasyuridae. The record is from RefSeq and is a predicted model, not a curated record.
GUGUUCCCUUCAGCAACAUAUCUAUUAAAAUAGGAAAGAUAAAGAGAUUACUAUGGCCCUGAGAAAGGAUGACAUGUAAGUUCUUAAAGUAUUCCAUAUUUUC